RNAcentral lists this ribosomal RNA (119 nucleotides) under Pteropus alecto (black flying fox). Lineage: Eukaryota; Metazoa; Chordata; Mammalia; Chiroptera; Pteropodidae. The record is from RNAcentral.
GUCUACGGCCACGCCACCCUGAACGUGCCCGAUCCCAUCUGAUCUCAGAAGCUAAGCAGAGUGGGGCCUGAUUAGUACUUGGGUGGGAGACCACCUAGGAAGACCAGGUGCUGUAGGCG